This 253-nucleotide ribosomal RNA is filed under the name uncultured bacterium. Its description in RNAcentral is "partial 16S ribosomal RNA". It matches the Rfam family "Bacterial small subunit ribosomal RNA", at positions 524 to 776 of the family's 1533-position model. The record is from RNAcentral.
UACGUAGGGGGCGAGCGUUGUCCGAAGUCACUGGGCGUAAAGCGCGCGUAGGCGGGGGAUUAAGUGAGAAGUGAAAGGCUGGGGCUCAACCCUCGAAUGCCGGUGGAUACUGUCGGGCUAGAGUGCGGAAGAGGCGAGUGGAAUUCCUGGUGUAGCGGUGAAAUGCGCAGAUAUCAGGAGGAACACCGAUUGCGAAGGCAGCUCGCUGGGACGUAACUGACGCUGAGACGCGAAAGCGUGGGGAGCAAACAGG